Molecule: long non-coding RNA, 151 nt
Organism: Drosophila miranda
Lineage: Eukaryota; Metazoa; Arthropoda; Insecta; Diptera; Drosophilidae
Exons: 2
Source: RefSeq, a predicted model, not a curated record
AACAAAUCCGCAGUUCGCUGAAAAUGUCACAUGUUACCUCAAGGCGGUAGCUUGGGAGAAGUCGCUUGUUCAAAUGGACUGUCAUCUUAAAGAACCCUUAAGGAAUCCAACCGUGCAUAUUAAGCUAUAUAAAAAGGACUAUAACAACCAG